This is an RNA transcript of Egretta garzetta (little egret), 2292 nucleotides long. It is a transcript of the gene named zinc finger FYVE-type containing 21, with no coding region annotated. NCBI's taxonomy places the organism in Eukaryota, Metazoa, Chordata, Aves, Pelecaniformes, Ardeidae. The transcript has 9 exons. The record is from RefSeq and is a predicted model, not a curated record.
UAAUAUUUGCAAAUAAAUCUAACAAAAAUUGCAUUAUAAGCCAUUGGAGAGUGGUUUUUGAUAUGGUGGAUAAAAAUACGUAAAAUCUUGGUGAAAAUCUAGUGAUCUGAGUGUGGAGAAUCAGCCCUUUGGUAGGUGACUUUCUGUAUAGAAAAUUUUAAUUAUCAUAACAAUCACUGGUCACUUCUGCUAGUUUUGAAAAUGAAAACUGUCACCCCUUAAACCCUACUUAGUUGAGGAGAGAAACUUCUUAAUUUUUUUUUUCUGGCUUUUCUUUUGGGAGGAGUGUGGGUGUAAGCUUGUUUUAGGAAAGAGAUAUUUCAGGAAGUGACAUUUUGUAACUGGAGUAAAAAUUAAGUCUUAGUGGCUUGGAAGAAAACCAAGUAUCUCCUAGCAUGUUUCAAGAAUGUGUAAGUAUUGAGAGAAUUGAAAUAUGUAAACAAUGUCUUAGAGAGUCAACAGAGCAUCACAGUAUAAUACAGCAAGGAUGACAACUUAUAUAAAAACAGUUAAGUCUGAAAUAUAUGACUGUCUGGAUAGCCAAACAUAAUUAAGCAUUAUAAGUACUUCUGAAAUAUAGUUUUGACUGCUGGCAAGAUGCAGUCUUCCUUAGGGCGAAUGAGUUUGGCAGCUUUUUUUGUCUUACACAUGGGGAUGACAUUAUUUUGCUAUGCUGAUAUUAAAAUAAAUGAAAACCAUCCAUGGUGAAAAGAUAAAGGAUGGAAAUGUGUUGGAGGUGUUUCUUUUUAGGGCAUAAUAUAAAGCUUAGGUUUUGUAUAUGGUAGGAUUGAAGGUUUAGAAAUCUUGUAGAUUAAUCUUAAUUUGUACUGUUUUCUAGUGCCCAAGAUGUAUGCAGUGUGAUACAAAAUUUGACUUCAUAACUAGAAAGCAUCACUGCCGAAGAUGCGGGAAGUGCUUCUGCGACAAGUGCUGCAGUAAAAAAGUGCCUCUGCCUCGCAUGUGCUUUGUGGACCCUGUGCGCCAGUGUGCUGAAUGUGCCCUCGUCUCGCAGAAAGAAACAGAGUUCUAUGACAAACAGCUUAAAGUGCUCAUGAACGGUGCUACAUUCUUUGUAACUCUGGGAACAUCUGAUAAAUCUGAGCUCAUGGUUUGUCGACUUUCCAACAAUCAGAGAUAUCUGGUUCUGGAUGGAGACAGCCACUAUGAAAUUGAAAUUAUACAGAUUUCAACUGUUCAGAUACUUACAGAGGGAUUUACUCCUGGAGAGAAAGACAUUCACACUUACACCAGCCUUCUGGAGAGCCAGCACAUUACUGAAGGUGGUAAUACUCGUGCCAUAGGCAUGAUUCUGCAGUAUAAGGUACCAGGAUCAGAGGAACUAACGCAGAUGAAGUUUACAGCCGGUGAAGACUUCAGCUGUAACAAGAAGCUGUCAGCAAGCUGGCUGGCGGCUAUGCACAAGGCAACGAAACUUCUUUAUGAGUCCCGGGACCAGUGAGGAAGCAAGCUGUUGGCUGCUUGAGGGAAACCACCAGCCUCCACAGACCUGCCUCUCACUUCUUGCUCAUUUGACAGCUGGUAACAUUUGCUGUUCUUGACCCUUUCUCAUUCCAGUGUGGUUCAUGAUGUAAGAACCGGCAAAUGCAAUAGGCUGGAGAGAGUAAGGAUAACCUGCUUUGCAGCACUUCAUAGCAGUGUAUCCAGAUGAGGGAUUCUGACCAAAGAUCCAUCUUGUGCUCCUACUUCAGGAGAAGUAAAAAAUAGAAAACAGAAGGCCUGCUUUCUACAACAGACCUUACACAGUAACACUUGGAAGGUUUUGAAAAUCUGCAUGACAUCAGGUAUAGAGCGCCUUAAUGAAGCUUAUACCCUCUGAUGUAAAUUUAAAAUUCACCUGUUCCAUCAAGGUGCUUUUCUUGCAAAAUAUAUCUGAAUAAUUGAAUACAUUUUGUAAGUUAAUUAUUCAUAAAGUAUACAUGUUUCUUCAUGUGAGCUGCUAGAAAUUUGUGCAUCUGGAAGUUGGAGUAUCUCUGUCAAGAUAUUUGACAACUCACUGUUCGCUGUCAAAACUUCCCCAUGGAAGCAUUUCCUUGAAAUUAAGCCAAGUUAAACUUUAAAAAUCUGUAACAUUAGAGGGGGCCUGUGAAGCAACUCAAAGAACAGAAGGACUACAAGCAACAUCAUAACCAAAAGAGUAUUUUGUGUUUAGCAUUUUGAACGAACAGGUAGUGGGUAGCAGCAUCAAGUCUGGGGCCUAUGCAGAUGUUUCACAGAAAUCAGAGACAGAAAGGGAUGAAUUUUAUAAAAGCUAAAGAAGUUUGUAAAGUGGCA